AUGCUGCAGUGGUGUGAAUGUUUCUUUGACUAGAGGUGUCAUCGACUAUCUGCAGUGAGGCUACUGAGUUUGACUAUACAUUUUCUUGAUCCUUAGCCAUCGGGUCCUUGCUGUGUAUAUUGGCUUCAGUGGGUUCAGAUUCACUGUUAAGAGUAGGAUACACCUAGAUGAAAUCUAUUAAUCUUGAUAAAAAAGAAAAAGUCCUAUAUGAUUUGUGAGACUGAGUUCAGAAAGUCUUUGGCCAAAGCAAGUGUGAAUACUGAAAAAAAUUUUCAAGAGAUUCACAAGUG
RNAcentral lists this long non-coding RNA (290 nucleotides) under Elaeis guineensis (African oil palm). RNAcentral describes it as "long non-coding RNA (EGUI_LNC068366)". Lineage: Eukaryota; Viridiplantae; Streptophyta; Magnoliopsida; Arecales; Arecaceae. The record is from RNAcentral.